UGUUAGAAAUUUCAUCCAUUUCUACAGUUAAGAAUUGGUCUGGCUGAUGAAAUAAUCAAAUAGUUACACGUGUUGUACCACGUGUGCCUUAUGCUUACAUAUAGAGACCAACUUUUAACAAAAAAAUGGAUAAAAUUGACC
This 141-nucleotide microRNA precursor is filed under the name Gossypium arboreum. RNAcentral describes it as "MIR7502 microRNA precursor family". It matches the Rfam family "MIR7502 microRNA precursor family". The record is from Rfam by way of RNAcentral. Lineage: Eukaryota; Viridiplantae; Streptophyta; Magnoliopsida; Malvales; Malvaceae.